GAGGGACAUUACCGGGUGCGCAGGCCCCCUCGCGGGGCCGCCCUCGAAUCCCCUGUGUACCGUACCCUUUGUUUGCUUCGGCGGGCCAGGCCCGCGCGGCCCCCCUCCCUCGCGGGGGGAGCGCCCGCCGAGGCCCCAACUGAACCAGUCUGAAGAACAGCAUUCGGUCAGGCCUUCGGGUUUGAAUUCAGCACAACUUUCAACAAUGGAUCUCUUGGCUCCGGCAUCGAUGAAGAACGCAGCGAAAUGCGAUAGCUAGCGUGAAUUGCAGAUUUCAGUGAAUCAUCGAGUCUUUGAACGCACAUUGCGCCCCUUGGCAUGCCUUGGGGCACACCUGUUCGAGCGUCGUUUCGCCCAUCAGGCCUGCGGGCCUGGUCUUGGGGUGCGCCCCGCCCUCGCGGCGGCGGCGGCUCUGAAACGCAUCGGCGGCUUAGUGACGCCCCGGGACGCUGUAGAAGGCGGAUUCCGAGGGCUCGCCUGGCUUGCCGUAAAACCCGGUGCAACGCACCUUCAGGUCGACCUCGAAUCAGGUGGGGAUACCCGCUGAACUUAAGCAUAUCAAAA
Molecule: ribosomal RNA, 564 nt
Rfam family: 5.8S ribosomal RNA (bases 195-348)